Molecule: long non-coding RNA, 2929 nt
Filed under: Homo sapiens (human)
Lineage: Eukaryota; Metazoa; Chordata; Mammalia; Primates; Hominidae
Description: HSALNT0105490
Source: RNAcentral
GUGUGGUGGCAGACACCUGUAAUCCCAGCUACUCAGGAGGCUGAGGCAGGAGAAUCACUUGAAUACUGGAGGCAGAGGUUGCAGUGAGCCGAGAUUGUGCCACUGCACUCCAGCCUGGGCAACAAGAACAAAACUCCCUCUCAAAAACAAAAACAAAAAAGAAAGCCUUAGCCACAUGUUGUAUUUGCAAUGUGUCAACUAAGCCAAGUUGGAAACACAUGUCCCAGAAUUCCUUCCCUGCUUAGUUCUGGGUUAGCAAGGACCAAUGACCUUGUGGAGAUUUGAGAGGUGGAAACAAUGUAGCAGCCACAUUUUUUUUUCUAAUUUUAGAGACAAGGUCUCACUCUGUUGCCCAGGCUGGAGUGCAGUGGCGUGAUCAUAGCUCACUGAAGCCUACGACUCAUGGCUUCAAGUAUCCUCUCACCUCAGCCUCUCAAGUAGCUGGGACUAUAGGCAUGCACCACCAUGUGUAGCUAAUUAAUUUGUGUGUGUGUGUGUGGUAGUGAUGGGGUCUCACUAUGUUGCCCAGGCUGGUCUUGAACUCCUGGCCUCAAGCAAUCCUCCUGCCUCAGCCUCUCAAAGUGCUGGGAUUACAGGUGUGAGCCACCAUCCCUGGCCCCUAAAGUGUAUUUUAAAAAGAUGCCUCUGCUUAACACGUUGGCAAGCUUCCCACCAUAGAUUUAUUCCAAAGUAGACUAUGAGGCCCAUGGCUCUGCUGCCAUUUCAGUUCCACCGAAUGUGGGAAUUCUAAGGAAGUACCAACAUCUCCUUCCAUACACCAAGAGCAUCACUCAUCAUACUAGAAAAAGACCUAUUUUAAAAUGGUGCAAGGGCAUCAGGUGACCUGACGGCCAUGGGCAGGCUGCAUCACCAUUCUGGGUCCUCCCCAUAUUCUUGAUUCUCCAAGGUUCCCUCAUCUUUAGAAGACAAAGAAUCCCUGCCUUAUAAACUGUGCUUUAAUUUUUCUAACUAUAGGCUGCAGUUACCCAAACAAGAUGCUGUCAAAAAUCUUAAGAGUUGUAUUUAACGCUGUCUCUUUCUUGCCGUGUAUUAUUAAGGUCACACGUGGAGAUUCUGGGCAAUUACAGAUAGUGCCUUCUCCUCCCACAGAAAUCUCCAUGUCAGACAUGUAGUAGAGAAAAAUCUGAAGGGAAGUACUGAAGGUCUACCAAAACUUUUCAAGCCAUCAGAGAAUGUCCUUUUAUGUACUUUCGUCAGUCACUGUCAUUCAGAUGCAUAAGUAGCCAGCUGAUGGAAAAAAUACACAGCUGGGUUGGGGAAUUCUGAGUUUCAGGAUUUUGACUAACUGGCUCAAAUUCAAUGCGUUUUGUCACCAAUACUGGAGAUAGUCUCCAGCCCCAGAGAAUACAGGCUUCACAUGUACCAUACUAAAAGUGGAGUUCAGUGUGCUGCUAAGGCCAAGUAAGUAUAGACAAAGCCCUUCACUGGCAGUCCUCGUUUUGGAGGUUGUGCAAGCUGCCUCUGAAUUUCUGAGAUCACACAUUUACAGCCAGGAAUCUUCUCUGGCUCAUCCUCAAGAUCCCUAGGGUGAUCAUUAUUUUCUUACAAAAAAAAAGCACGCAAAUAAAGGGAAUUUAUUAUGGUUGAGAUAGGGUCUUGCUCUGUCACCCAGGCUGGAGUGCAGUGGCAUGAUCAUGGCUCACUGCAGCCUCAACCUCCCAGGGCUCAAGUGAUCCUCCCACCUCAGCCUGUAACUGGGCCUAAAGGUGCAUACCAUCAUGUCUGUCUAAUUUUUGUACUUUUUGUAGAGACAGGGUCUUGCCAUGUUGCCCAGGCUGGUCUCGAACUCCUGGGCUCAAGCAACCUGCCCACCUCGGCCUCCCAAAGUGCUGGGGUUAUAAGCAUAAGCAACCGCACCUAGCUAGGAAUUUAUUUCAUUACCAAAUAAUUUAACAGGGAGGAGGGAGAAAUAUAAUUCAAAUCCAGAGAUGAAGCCAAGAAUUCAGAGGGAAUAAAGGGUGCCUAGAACCUGCAUCAACCUGUCUGUAGACCUCAGAGGUCCUACUAAGUACCUUCCAGCACUGUGCCACCUUCUUUUGCAGUGUGAAAAUGAGGAUUUGCAGUAUAUGUGACAUCUCCUUAGGCCUUGAGAGUCUGUGAUGAUGAGUAUUGAUGAUAUAUGCUACUUAAGAAAGAAAAUGCAUGCUCAAUAUGGACCACCACCUUAGAUAGCCUUACUUAUGUUUCAUAUAUUUAUUAAAGGGCACAAUUAAAUUUUAUUUUGCAAGUCGAGCCUACCUUAAAAUCAGCUUAAAAAGGUGAAAUAUCCGCUGGCUAAUGAAAAAACAAAACCUUUUUAUUUUUCCCAUUACUUGGUUCUUUUUAGCAACGAUGCAUUGUUCUGCCACUUUCACCCCAAUGUUGGUUUCAGGUUCACCUUAGAGCAAAGUGUAGGAUGAUACUGUCCAUUGCCGAUUUUCUGAUUUUUUUUUUUUUUUUUUUUUUUUGAGACCAAGUCUCACUGUCACCCAGGCCAGAGUGCAGUGGCACAAUCUUGGCUCACUGCAACUUCCACUUCCCAGGUUCAAGUGAUUCUCCUGCCUCAGCCUCCUGAGUAGCUGGGAUUACAGGUGUGCACCACCACACCUGGCUAAUUUUUGUAUUUUUAGUAGAGACAGGGUUUUACCACAUUGGCCAGGCUGGUCUCAAACUCCUGACCUCAGGUGAUGCACCUGCCUUGGCCUCCCAAAGUGCUGGGAUUACAGGCAUGAGCCACUACGCCUGACCUCUCUGAUGUCUAAUUUCUUCAAGUUGGCCCCCACCAUGGUUUUUUAACCAAUAUAGCUUUCCCUGAAAAUCACUUAAGCAAAACCAAAAACAAUGGGAAGUCACAUUUUUUUUGGAUUUAUUUAAAGAACACACAAAAAAGUGCAUCUAAAUGAUUUUUUUUUUUUAAAAACAAUGUCUU